This 275-nucleotide ribosomal RNA is filed under the name uncultured eukaryote. RNAcentral describes it as "partial 18S ribosomal RNA". It matches the Rfam family "Eukaryotic small subunit ribosomal RNA", at positions 594 to 945 of the family's 1831-position model. The record is from RNAcentral.
AUAGCGUAUAUUAAAGUUGUUGCAGUUAAAAAGCUCGUAGUUGGAUUUCAAGGAAAGCACUAUGGAAACAUAGCUGCCUCCUAUCAGUCUUUGACUGUUACUGUGAGAAAAUUAGAGUGUUUCAAGCAGGCUGUUGCCGGAAUACAUUAGCAUGGAAUAACGAAUGUGUCUAGAAUCUUGGUUAAUUCUAGAAUACGAUUAAUAGGGACAGUUGGGGGCAUUAGUAUUUAAUUGUCAGAGGUGAAAUUCUUGGAUUUGUUAAAGACUAACGUAUG